UUUUUCCUCCUUUCUCUCCAUCUCUCUCUCUCUCUCUCUCUCUCUCUCUCUCUCUCUCUCUCUCUCUCUCUCUCUCUCUCUGUCGAGGUACUAUACGCUUGCCAUCAAACGAAACUCGGCUUUCUACUAUUUUCGAGCUUAAACGCUUAAACGAAUUAUCUGGCAGAGGAGAGUUAGCAGAUCUAAUUUGUAACAUGGUUACGGUGAAUUUUAUCACAGGUCAGUGCUCUCUUUUUCUAACACAUCUAUUUAACUAAACUCUCUAAUAGCUUUCAUACGCAUACAAGUGUAUUUGUUAUGUUCCUAAAGAUUGUAGAAUCAAGAAUAUACAAAACCAAGUCAAAUAAAUCAUUUAUCAAUUUCACCAAGUUUCUCAUUACUGAGGCUUUGCUUAGACCAUAGGAUCUUCUUUUAAUAUCGUUUAAAAGGUCGGUCGAUACUCAUCGUAUCUUCGUUUGACCUGACUCUUAAAACCCAGAAAGUUAAUAACAUCGAAGAAAAGAGAAAAGGAGUUACUGUUUCCAAUCACGAAUGAAUGUUCGUAAUGAGACGAAAUUCGAAAAUUAAAUUAGAAAUUCGUGUUCCGUUUGAAGUUUCUAGGACAGAGAACUUGUCAAAUAUAUUUUUCUGAAGAAGUUUAAUGACUUUUCGAACGUUCACAUCUAUUUUUUCUUUAUUCUUUCUCCUUUCCUUCCUAUUUUAAGAAAGACAAAGAUUGUCUAGUGACCAACGUUAUAAUCGUUAGUUACAUUGUAGAAUACUCGAAGCGAAAAUGGAAACAAUGUUUAAACAGAGAAGAGGUUCGCUUCGUCGGGGCAGUUCAGUUGGAAACACACAAGAUAGUGAAAAGGAUCGUCGGAGUGUAUUGUCGAAUCGAGUCUUGAACGUUCUCGCACAGCCGACAUUGAGUUGUCGAUAAAUUCGACUCUUGGAGAGAAAAAAAGAAAGAGAGAGAGAGAAAACCCAUGCCAAAAUUAGAUCAAGCUAUUUCACCUUCAACGAUCAUUCUUUUUUUAGAACUAACGUAAAACAUCUUCAUGUGUAUUGUAUCGUAAAAUUAUACGAUCAGAUAAUCUAAGAGGUAAACGAUAAGUUAGAAGCUUAUCGUUAUCCGAUAUUUAUACUUUCGACUCGAUAAAGGUAAAAGAAAUUCAACGUAAAAGGAUUAUUUUAACAUUUUGAAGUUUACAAUAGUUUUAAGCUGUUCGAGAGCGUUCAUUCUAGAUCUAUGUUUCAAUGGAAUAACUACGAUUCGAUCGGACGAGUUAAGCGCAGCUAACUACAAUUUUUAUAUCUCCUUUUGGGUGAAAUUGAUAACGUUCGAUAAGAGGACGUUAUCGGUAUUAGCGAAGAGAGGAAAAGGGAAAGAAGAGGAAGACAAGAAUUACAUUGAAGUUAUCGUCAUUGAGGAGAAUAUCGGUGACCUUGCGUUUGAUAGAAGAAAGGAAAUUUGUUUUUGUUGGAAAAACCAGUCAAUUGUGAGAUAAUUAAAAUGGCAGAAAAUUCAUCGUCCGAGUCGAAUGAGAAAAUGCCUGUGGAAGAAGAAGUCAAGGAGGAACUUGAAGCUGAAGGUGAAGAAGCCGCAGAGGAGUGUGAUGCAGAGGAGUCUGAAGAAGAGGAUGGCAACGAUAACAGCAAAAAACGUACAAAAAGAAAUAUUAUUACAGCACCGGUAUUUAAAAUAAAAGAUGAAAUUGAAUAUCGUUUAGAUACGAAUGGGAACUGGAGACCAGUCAAUCCUUAAUCAUAUAUUUUUAUAUUAAAUGCACAACCGAAAAGAGAUAAUAAAAUAAAUAAUAAAAUGCUCAGAAUACAAAGAUUACAUUA
Molecule: long non-coding RNA, 1827 nt
Organism: Vespula vulgaris
Lineage: Eukaryota; Metazoa; Arthropoda; Insecta; Hymenoptera; Vespidae
Exons: 2
Source: RefSeq, a predicted model, not a curated record